GGUAAAGUGGCCGAAUGUUAGGCGGUAGGCUGUAGACCUACUUACACUGGUUUGAUUCCUUUCUUUAUC
This 69-nucleotide transfer RNA is filed under the name Anolis loysiana. Its description in RNAcentral is "tRNA-Tyr". It matches the Rfam family "tRNA". From Rfam's summary of the family: Transfer RNA (tRNA) molecules are approximately 80 nucleotides in length. Their secondary structure includes four short double-helical elements and three loops (D, anti-codon, and T loops). Further hydrogen bonds mediate the characteristic L-shaped molecular structure. tRNAs have two regions of fundamental functional importance: the anti-codon, which is responsible for specific mRNA codon recognition, and the 3' end, to which the tRNAs corresponding amino acid is attached (by aminoacyl-tRNA synthetases). tRNAs cope with the degeneracy of the genetic code in two manners: having more than one tRNA (with a specific anti-codon) for a particular amino acid; and 'wobble' base-pairing, i.e. permitting non-standard base-pairing at the 3rd anti-codon position. Lineage: Eukaryota; Metazoa; Chordata; Lepidosauria; Squamata; Anolidae. The record is from RNAcentral.